GCUGAAGACUUUAGCUUGCUAGAGUUGGAAGAGUUGCGAACGGGUGAGUAACGCGUAGGUAACCUGCCUAUUAGUGGGGGAUAACUAUUGGAAACGAUAGCUAAUACCGCAUAAUAGUGUUUAACACAUGUUAGAGACUUAAAAGAUGCAAUUGCAUCACUAGUAGAUGGACCUGCGUUGUAUUAGCUAGUUGGUGGGGUAACGGCCUACCAAGGCGACGAUACAUAGCCGACCUGAGAGGGUGAUCGGCCACACUGGGACUGAGACACGGCCCAGACUCCUACGGGAGGCAGCAGUAGGGAAUCUUCGGCAAUGGGGGCAACCCUGACCGAGCAACGCCGCGUGAGUGAAGAAGGUUUUCGGAUCGUAAAGCUCUGUUGUAAGAGAAGAACGUGUGUGAGAGUGGAAAGUUCACACAGUGACGGUAACUUACCAGAAAGGGACGGCUAACUACGUGCCAGCAGCCGCGGUAAUACGUAGGUCCCGAGCGUUGUCCGGAUUUAUUGGGCGUAAAGCGAGCGCAGGCGGUUUAAUAAGUCUGAAGUUAAAGGCAGUGGCUUAACCAUUGUUCGCUUUGGAAACUGUUAAACUUGAGUGCAGAAGGGGAGAGUGGAAUUCCAUGUGUAGCGGUGAAAUGCGUAGAUAUAUGGAGGAACACCGGUGGCGAAAGCGGCUCUCUGGUCUGUAACUGACGCUGAGGCUCGAAAGCGUGGGGAGCAAACAGGAUUAGAUACCCUGGUAGUCCACGCCGUAAACGAUGAGUGCUAGGUGUUAGGCCCUUUCCGGGGCUUAGUGCCGCAGCUAACGCAUUAAGCACUCCGCCUGGGGAGUACGA
Molecule: ribosomal RNA, 835 nt
Filed under: Streptococcus gallolyticus
Lineage: Bacteria; Bacillati; Bacillota; Bacilli; Lactobacillales; Streptococcaceae
Description: bacterial SSU rRNA
Rfam family: Bacterial small subunit ribosomal RNA
Source: RNAcentral